CCAGUCCUCGAACCCUUCACGCUAACCUUCACGAUAUCCCCUGCACCCGCGACAUUGGAGAUCAAAACCAAAUUGAAGUAACGGAAACCGUUGACGGUGAACCUGAUACCGCCUCUCUUUCGGCAUGGCACCCGGCGGUAGGCAACAGGGACGAUGCCGGAACGGUACUCGGCGAUCUUAAGGAACAUGGGCAUGGCGAGGUCGAAGUGGGGGCGAGGAGGGUUGCACCAUCCACCAUUGUCAUUAGGAAGAGCAAAAUUUGGUGGACAAAAGUUUGUAGCAGUAAUGAAAAUGGAAGGGCUGCCUGAGUGACACCAUUUUGGCUCAUUUGCGCACUUGAUUUCAUAGCAAGCACCGCAACUCAGACCAUUGUUG
RNAcentral lists this unclassified non-coding RNA (375 nucleotides) under Hevea brasiliensis (rubber tree). The record is from RNAcentral. Lineage: Eukaryota; Viridiplantae; Streptophyta; Magnoliopsida; Malpighiales; Euphorbiaceae.